GACGUAGGGAGCGAGCGUUGUCCGGAUUCAUUGGGCGUAAAGAGCGCGCAGGCGGUUUGGUAAGUCGGAUGUGAAAUCCCGGGGCUCAACCCCGGACCUGCAUCCGAUACUGCCCGACUAGAGGUAGGUAGGGGAGAUCGGAAUUCCUGGUGUAGCGGUGAAAUGCGCAGAUAUCAGGAAGAACACCAAUGGCGAAAGCAGCUCUCUGGGACGGUACUGACGCUGAGACGCGAAAGCGUGGGGAGCGAACAGG
Molecule: ribosomal RNA, 253 nt
Filed under: uncultured bacterium
Lineage: Bacteria
Description: partial 16S ribosomal RNA
Rfam family: Bacterial small subunit ribosomal RNA
Source: RNAcentral